GAAAUGCGAUAAGUAAUGUGAAUUGCAGAAUACAGUGAAUCAUCGAAUCUUUGAACGCACAUUGCGCUCGCCAGUAUUCUGGCGAGCAUGCCUGUUCGAGCGUCAUUUCAACCAUCAAGCUCUGCUUGCGUUGGGGAUCCGCGGCUGCCCGCGGUCCCUCAAAAACAGUGGCGGGCUCGCUAGUCACACCGAGCGUAGUAACUCUACAUCGCUAUGGUCGUGCGGCGGGUUCUUGCCGUAAAACCCCCAAUUUCUAAGGUUGACCUUGGAUCAGGUAGGAAUACCCGCUGAACCUAAGC
Molecule: unclassified non-coding RNA, 299 nt
Filed under: plant metagenome
Description: partial contains 5.8S ribosomal RNA, internal transcribed spacer 2, and large subunit ribosomal RNA
Rfam family: 5.8S ribosomal RNA (bases 1-105)
Source: RNAcentral